Molecule: ribosomal RNA, 798 nt
Filed under: Triticum aestivum (bread wheat)
Lineage: Eukaryota; Viridiplantae; Streptophyta; Magnoliopsida; Poales; Poaceae
Description: partial small subunit ribosomal RNA
Source: RNAcentral
AUGGAGGGGAGCAGCAGCGGCAAGCACUUCAUCCUCAUCCACGGCCUCUGCCACGGCGCGUGGUGCUGGUACAAGCUGGUGCCGAUGCUCCGCGCCGCGGGGCACCGCGUCACCGCGCUCGACAUGGCCGCGUCCGGCGCGCACCCGGCGCGCAUGGACGAGGUGCCGUCCUUCGAGGACUACUCUUGGCCGCUGCUCGACGCGGUGGCCGCGGCACCGGCGGGCGAGAGGCUAGUCCUGGUCGGGCACAGCCUCGGGGGGCUCAACAUCGCGCUCGCCAUGGAGAGGUUCCCGCGCAAGGUCGCCGCGGCCGUGUUCCUGGCCGCGUGCAUGCCGUGCGUCGGCAGGCACAUGGGCGCCACCACGGAGGAGAUCAUGAGACGGAUCAAGCCGGAUUUCUUCAUGGACAUGAAGAGGAUGGUUCUGAACACGAGCCAGGGCCCUCGACCUGCACUCGUGUUUGGUCCAAAAAUAUUGGCAGCAAAGCUGUACGAUCGAAGCUCAGGUGAGGAUCAGACGCUGGCUACGAUGCUGGUGAGACCGGGCUGCCAGUUCUUGGAUGACCCUACCAUGAAGGACGAGGCUCUGCUCACCGAAGCCAAGUACGGGUCGGUGAAGAAGGUGUACGUGGUGGCCAUGGCCGACGCAUCAAACUCCGAGGAGAUGCAGCGUUGGAUGGUCGACAUGAGCCCCGGCACGGAGGCCGAGGAGAUCGCCGGAGCGGAUCACAUGGCCAUGUGCUCCAAACCCAGGGAGCUCUGUGAUGUCCUGCUCCGGAUAGCCGACAAGUAUGAAUGA